This 468-nucleotide ribosomal RNA is filed under the name uncultured bacterium. Its description in RNAcentral is "partial 16S ribosomal RNA". It matches the Rfam family "Bacterial small subunit ribosomal RNA", at positions 28 to 507 of the family's 1533-position model. The record is from RNAcentral.
GACGAACGCUGGCGGCGUGCUUAACACAUGCAAGUCGAACGGAAAGGCCCUGCUUUUGUGGGGUGCUCGAGUGGCGCACGGGUGAGUAACACGUGAGUAACCUGCCCUUGACUUUGGGAUAACUUCAGGAAACUGGGGCUAAUACCGGAUAGGAGCUCCUGCUGCAUGGUGGGGGUUGGAAAGUUUCGGCGGUAGGGGAUGGACUCGCGGCUUAUCAGCUUGUUGGUGGGGUAGUGGCUUACCAAGGCUUUGACGGGAAGCCGGCCUGAGAGGGUGACCGGCCACAAUGGGACUGAGAUACGGCCCAGACUCCUACGGGAGGCAGCAGUGGAGAAUAUUGCACAGUAGGCGGAAGCCUGAUGCAGAAACGCCGCGUGCGGGAUGACGGCCUUCGGGUUAUAAACCGCUUUCGCAUGUGACGAAGCGUGAGUGACGGUAAUGGGUAAAAAAGCACCGGCUAACUACGUG